RNAcentral lists this ribosomal RNA (597 nucleotides) under Triticum aestivum (bread wheat). RNAcentral describes it as "partial small subunit ribosomal RNA". Lineage: Eukaryota; Viridiplantae; Streptophyta; Magnoliopsida; Poales; Poaceae. The record is from RNAcentral.
AUGCUUAGGUUCCCCUUGCUCCACCGCACGCUGCAACUCCGUGCUCCUCUGCUCGAUUCUGGCCGCCGCCGUCGCUCUCAUCCCGUCCGGAUCCGCCGCCCCGGCCUAUCCCGUUCGGCCUUGUCUCCCCGACUGGCGCCUCUUGACUCGCGCCAAGCCAAGCUAUUGCUCGAUCCCGCCUCGGGAGCACCUCCUCUGCUCGGGCCUGCCUCGGGAGCGCCUCGAUCCCGUCCGGGCCGCGCGCUCCUCGUCCCCUCGCGCAGUGCCCGUAGUCCGGCUGUUCCAACUGCCGCUGGUGCUCACCUGCACGUAGCCGGUUCGCCAGGGCCCCGGUCGCGGCUGGAUCGAGCUAUUCCAGCCGCCGCCGAGGCUGGAUCUCCUGCUGUCGCCAGGUCCCGGCCCAUAUCUGAAGAGUCCACCGGCAAGGUCAAUCUCAGGUUCUGGCAUGAAGAAUUGAAGAGGCUGUUCUUUUACGAGUUCCGAGGGACGAGAAGCGAGGUCACUUUCCUCAAGUUCGUCGCGGAGAGGGCUCGGGUGCUGGAGAAGAUGGUGGUUGUGGUGACCAAUGAUGUUUCUCCUCGGGGGAUGAUUAUGUGA